GAUGAACGCUGGCGGCGUGCCUAAUACAUGCAAGUCGAGCGAACAGAUAAGGAGCUUGCUCCUUUUACGUUAGCGGCGGACGGGUGAGUAACACGUGGGUAACCUACCUAUAAGACUGGGAUAACUUCGGGAAACCGGAGCUAAUACCGGAUAAUAUUUCGAACCGCAUGGUUCGAUAGUGAAAGAUGGUUUUGCUAUCACUUAUAGAUGGACCCGCGCCGUAUUAGCUAGUUGGUAAGGUAACGGCUUACCAAGGCGACGAUACGUAGCCGACCUGAGAGGGUGGUCCGCCACACCGGAACUGGGGCACGGUCCCAACUCCUAAGGGAGGGAAGAGUAGGGAAUCUUCCGCAAUGGGCGAAAGCCUGACGGAGCAACGCCGCGUGAGUGAUGAAGGUCUUCGGAUCGUAAAACUCUGUUAUUAGGGAAGAACAUACGUGUAAGUAACUGUGCACGUCUUGACGGUACCUAAUCAGAAAGCCACGGCUAACUACGUG
RNAcentral lists this ribosomal RNA (497 nucleotides) under uncultured bacterium. Its description in RNAcentral is "partial 16S ribosomal RNA". It matches the Rfam family "Bacterial small subunit ribosomal RNA", at positions 28 to 507 of the family's 1533-position model. The record is from RNAcentral.